AUACUGAUGAAGAGUCCCAAACUAGUAGGACGGAACGGCUGUCCAGUAU
Molecule: non-coding RNA, 49 nt
Filed under: Trichobilharzia regenti
Lineage: Eukaryota; Metazoa; Platyhelminthes; Trematoda; Strigeidida; Schistosomatidae
Source: RNAcentral